GACGAACGCUGGCGGCGUGCUUAACACAUGCAAGUCGAACGGAAAGGCCCUGCUUUUGUGGGGUGCUCGAGUGGCGAACGGGUGAGUAACACGUGAGUAACCUGCCCUUGACUUUGGGAUAACUUCAGGAAACUGGGGCUAAUACCGGAUAGGAGCUCCUGCUGCAUGGUGGGGGUUGGAAAGUUUCGGCGGUUGGGGAUGGACUCGCGGCUUAUCAGCUUGUUGGUGGGGUAGUGGCUUACCAAGGCUUUGACGGGUAGCCGGCCUGAGAGGGUGACCGGGCACAUUGGGACUGAGAUACGGCCCAGAGUCCUACGGGAGGCAGCAGUGGGGAAUAUUGCACAAUGGGCGGAAGCCUGAUGCAGCAACGCCGCGUGCGGGAUGACGGCCUUCGGGUUGUAAACCGCUUUCGCCUGUGACGAAGCGUGAGUGACGGUAAUGGGUAAAGAAGCACCGGCUAACUACGUG
RNAcentral lists this ribosomal RNA (468 nucleotides) under uncultured bacterium. Its description in RNAcentral is "partial 16S ribosomal RNA". It matches the Rfam family "Bacterial small subunit ribosomal RNA", at positions 28 to 507 of the family's 1533-position model. The record is from RNAcentral.